CUUCAUUUAAUCCGAUGGGCUUUGACCGUGAAAAAAGAUUGGGCUGAUAUGUUCUUCUGGUUUAAGGGGCCCGACGGCCCGUAAUCGAAAACCCUAAGUUUGAUUACGCAAAAAUGGAGUUCGUCUCUACUCUUGCGCCUUCAUCGAGAACAUCGACAGAGGAAGCUAGGGGUUCGUCAUCUCCCCCAGAUCCGACCAUGUCAAACAAGCAUGGAUGUUCUGGAAGGAACCUCGAGUCAGAUCUUCAUAAUCAACUUUUGUGUCGUUCACAGUUCCCGUCGUUACGCUUGCUUUUGACCUCCUAUGAUCUGUUACGCAGCGGUGGAUCUUCACUUAUAAAAAGGGGAGACUUCACCUUAUGAAAAUCAUCCUCUCGGUUCCUAAUAUCAGCAAAACCUCAUCUUCUUCGAUCUCAUAGCUUAGCCUUUCUUGCUCGCUGAUUUGAAGGCCGCCGGUGUUCUUCCACUGUGGUGGUGUGACUUCAGCUUCUGGGAAGCGAGAAACGUGAAAGGAGGCGUCGAGCUAAUGGGCUUGGACAUGCUUAUCCUCGACUCGUCCGAUUUCUAAACUUAUUAUCAUCCUCGGUUUUGGACAGCAUUUAUACUCUUAUCAACAAUAUAUUAAUCCUUUCUGAUUGAUGGUGGUGAAUCCCUUUUUUGAUUAAUUAUUUUUUUUAAUGUUUCAAGCAACCCUCAUACCGCCACCGUCUCACUGCUUACCGGCAUCUUUUUAAGGCGGAUUUGAUGUAACUCGCUGCAAUCAGAAUUACAUGCUCUCUAACUCACCUCUACUGAUACGGUUCAGCGGUUCAACCGAAUUUGAAGAGAUACGGUUCUACCAAUUCCUAAAGAACGCUCAAGUUCCGUAAUCACAGUGAGGUACUUAGGCUGGCCAACAAGAACACACACCUUCCCGACCUUAUCUUCGAGCUCACAGCUGUGAAGAGUAUUGUGAGUGACCCUACACAAGGAAAACAUCGUGUCAUGACCGGAGGGCUCCAGCUGCUCCCAGUUAUGAUGAUGUUGCAAGAAGCAUAAACCUCAAGAUUGUUGGAGGUGCUCAGUCAUGUUAUGGCAACAAUUAAAAUCAACAGUGAUGUUUCUCUGACUUUGAGUUUGUUCCACUCGCAACUCUCAAGCUCUAUCGUUUCACAAGCACCUGGAAGGCUUCUGUGUUGAUCUAAUAGUUGUUGCAACAAGCAUAAACCCCCAAGAUUGUUGGAGAACAACAUAGACACCAAGAACAGACUUGGACAAUAGAAUGAACCGACUACAAGAGGAGCAGCUAAUUAGCAAAGAUGCACCAGAGUUGGAACCUACGCUUGCCGCAAAAUCAAACCUGCAGUUAUAACGAGGACUGAACCCGGUAGAGUAUGGCGAUCCCGAUGAUCAGUCCUUAAAGAUCCAGGUUGUCAAGAACAGCUCGUGCAGCCCGCCUAAUCCGUAGCCUCCACGAACAAACAGCAUCCUUCGCAACCGAGUGCACCCACUCACACCAAGUCGAGCUUUAUUUGGAGAAGAAACCACCAAGAGCCGCCACAGAUUACCGGACCUACAUCAAGAAAA
Molecule: long non-coding RNA, 1565 nt
Organism: Brassica oleracea var. oleracea
Lineage: Eukaryota; Viridiplantae; Streptophyta; Magnoliopsida; Brassicales; Brassicaceae
Exons: 5
Source: RefSeq, a predicted model, not a curated record